This 104-nucleotide small RNA is filed under the name Fictibacillus arsenicus. Its description in RNAcentral is "Guanidine-I sequence". It matches the Rfam family "Guanidine-I riboswitch aptamer". From Rfam's summary of the family: This family represents a conserved RNA structure found upstream of the ykkC and yxkD genes in Bacillus subtilis and related genes in other bacteria. The function of this family is unclear although it has been suggested that it may function to switch on efflux pumps and detoxification systems in response to harmful environmental molecules. The record is from Rfam by way of RNAcentral. Lineage: Bacteria; Bacillati; Bacillota; Bacilli; Caryophanales; Fictibacillaceae.
AGAAUAGCUUUCUAGGGUUCCGCAGUGACUGUUCGCUGGUCUGGUCCGAGAGAAGGCGCACAAUGGAUACAUUGUGUACACGGAGGGAUAAAAGCCUGGGAGGA